This 246-nucleotide ribosomal RNA is filed under the name uncultured Gardnerella sp. RNAcentral's name for it is "partial 16S ribosomal RNA". It matches the Rfam family "Bacterial small subunit ribosomal RNA", at positions 110 to 354 of the family's 1533-position model. Lineage: Bacteria; Bacillati; Actinomycetota; Actinomycetes; Bifidobacteriales; Bifidobacteriaceae. The record is from RNAcentral.
GUAAUGCGUGACAACCCUGCCCCAUGCUCCAGAAUAGCUCUUGGAAACGGGUGGUAAUGCUGGAUGNUCCAACUUGACGCAUGUCUUGUUGGGAAAGUGUUUAGUGGCAUGGGAUGGGGUCGCGUCCUAUCAGCUUGUAGGCGGGGGUAAUGGCCCACCUAGGCUUCGACGGGUAGCCGGCCUGAGAGGGCGGACGGCCACAUUGGGACUGAGAUACGGCCCAGACUCCUACGGGAGGCAGCAGGA